AUACGGAGGGUGCAAGCGUUAAUCGGAAUUACUGGGCGUAAAGCGCACGCAGGCGGUUUGUUAAGUCAGAUGUGAAAUCCCCGGGCUCAACCUGGGAACUGCAUCUGAUACUGGCAAGCUUGAGUCUCGUAGAGGGGGGUAGAAUUCCAGGUGUAGCGGUGAAAUGCGUAGAGAUCUGGAGGAAUACCGGUGGCGAAGGCGGCCCCCGGGACGAAGACGGACGCUCAGGUGCGAAAGCGUGGGGAGCAAACAGGAUUAGAUCCCCGGGUAGUCCACGCCGUAAACGAUGUCGACUUGGAGGUUGUGCCCUUGAGGCGUGGCUUCCGGAGCUAACGCGUUAAGUCGACCGCCUGGGGAGUACGGCCGCAAGGUUAAAACUCAAAUGAAUUGACGGGG
RNAcentral lists this ribosomal RNA (396 nucleotides) under uncultured bacterium. Its description in RNAcentral is "partial 16S ribosomal RNA". It matches the Rfam family "Bacterial small subunit ribosomal RNA", at positions 523 to 918 of the family's 1533-position model. The record is from RNAcentral.